GCCUCAGUAGCUCAGCCCGGACGGACUCGAAGAGUUCGGGGCGAUAGAGCAAUUGCCUUGUAAGCAGUAGGUCGGGGGUUCAAAUCCCCUCUGAGGCU
Molecule: transfer RNA, 98 nt
Filed under: Candidatus Woesearchaeota archaeon
Lineage: Archaea; Nanobdellati; Candidatus Woesearchaeota
Description: tRNA-Thr
Rfam family: tRNA
About the family: Transfer RNA (tRNA) molecules are approximately 80 nucleotides in length. Their secondary structure includes four short double-helical elements and three loops (D, anti-codon, and T loops). Further hydrogen bonds mediate the characteristic L-shaped molecular structure. tRNAs have two regions of fundamental functional importance: the anti-codon, which is responsible for specific mRNA codon recognition, and the 3' end, to which the tRNAs corresponding amino acid is attached (by aminoacyl-tRNA synthetases). tRNAs cope with the degeneracy of the genetic code in two manners: having more than one tRNA (with a specific anti-codon) for a particular amino acid; and 'wobble' base-pairing, i.e. permitting non-standard base-pairing at the 3rd anti-codon position.
Source: RNAcentral